Molecule: ribosomal RNA, 493 nt
Filed under: Escherichia coli
Lineage: Bacteria; Pseudomonadati; Pseudomonadota; Gammaproteobacteria; Enterobacterales; Enterobacteriaceae
Description: partial 23S ribosomal RNA
Rfam family: Bacterial large subunit ribosomal RNA
Source: RNAcentral
GGGUUGUGAGGUUAAGCGACUAAGCGUACACGGUGGAUGCCCUGGCAGUCAGAGGCGAUGAAGGACGUGCUAAUCUGCGAUAAGCGUCGGUAAGGUGAUAUGAACCGUUAUAACCGGCGAUUUCCGAAUGGGGAAACCCAGUGUGAUUCGUCACACUAUCAUUAACUGAAUCCAUAGGUUAAUGAGGCGAACCGGGGGAACUGAAACAUCUAAGUACCCCGAGGAAAAGAAAUCAACCGAGAUUCCCCCAGUAGCGGCGAGCGAACGGGGAGGAGCCCAGAGCCUGAAUCAGUGUGUGUGUUAGUGGAAGCGUCUGGAAAGGCGCGCGAUACAGGGUGACAGCCCCGUACACAAAAAUGCACAUAUUGUGAGCUCGAUGAGUAGGGCGGGACACGUGGUAUCCUGUCUGAAUAUGGGGGGACCAUCCUCCAAGGCUAAAUACUCCUGACUGACCGAUAGUGAACCAGUACCGUGAGGGAAAGGCGAAAAGAAC